Molecule: transfer-messenger RNA, 385 nt
Filed under: Anaeroplasmataceae
Lineage: Bacteria; Bacillati; Mycoplasmatota; Mollicutes; Anaeroplasmatales
Also listed under: 1 other name
Description: Anaeroplasma sp900770055 Standard tmRNA
Rfam family: transfer-messenger RNA
About the family: Bacterial tmRNA, also known as 10Sa RNA or SsrA, is named for its dual tRNA and mRNA-like properties. Its role is to liberate the mRNA from a stalled ribosome.
Source: RNAcentral
GGGGCUGUUUUAGGAUUCGCCGUGAUUGUUGAAGAUAUAUAAGCACGUAGUGGUAGGCCACUUUAAAAACGUCGAGGUUUAAAUAACCGCAAACAAUACUCAUUUAUUUGCACGCGCUAACAAUAUGAGCGCUGCAUACGCUUGCUAAUAAUAAUAUAAGCGGCUCUCCCUAUUAGUUUCCUAUGCUAGUAGGCUAGAGUUUCACUACAGUAGGAUAUAUCAAUCUUGUGCUACUCUAACAAGAAUUGAUGAAUUUAAUAGAGUGUAGCUAGCUUUUGGGUUGUCUAUUCCCUUAGGGCUAGUGAAAUUUUAGGAUAGACUAAACGUGUAGAAAGUAUAUUGGAUAUUGUUGCGUACGGGAGUUCGAGUCUCCCCAGCUCCACCA